RNAcentral lists this ribosomal RNA (451 nucleotides) under uncultured bacterium. RNAcentral's name for it is "partial 16S ribosomal RNA". It matches the Rfam family "Bacterial small subunit ribosomal RNA", at positions 29 to 523 of the family's 1533-position model. The record is from RNAcentral.
AACGAACGCUGGCGGCAGGCUUAACACAUGCAAGUCGAACGGUUGUAGCAAUACAGCAGUGGCAGACGGGUGAGUAACACGUGGGAACCUUCCUAGGGGUACGGAACAACUCAGGGAAACUUGAGCUAAUACCGUAUACGUCCGUGAGGAGAAAGAUUUAUCGCCCUUAGACGGGCCCGCGUCGGAUUAGUUAGUUGGUGGGGUAACGGCCUACCAAGGCGACGAUCCGUAGCUGAUCUUAGAGGAUGAUCAGCCACACUGGGACUGAGACACGGCCCAGACUUCUACGGGAGGCAGCAGUGGGGAAUCUUGGACAAUGGGCGCAAGCCUGAUUCAGCCAUGCCGCGUGAGUGAAGAAGGUCUUCGGAUUGUAAAGCUCUUUUGCCAGGGACGAUAAUGACGGUACCUGGAGAAUAAGCCCCGGCAAACUUCGUGCCAGCAGCCGCCGUAA